GGGGAAUUUUGGACAAUGGGCGAAAGCCUGAUCCAGCAAUGCCGCGUGUGUGAAGAAGGCCUUCGGGUUGUAAAGCACUUUUGUCCGGAAAGAAAUGGCUCUGGUUAAUACCUGGGGUCGAUGACGGUACCGGAAGAAUAAGGACCGGCUAACUACGUGCCAGCAGCCGCGGUAAUACGUAGGGUCCAAGCGUUAAUCGGAAUUACUGGGCGUAAAGCGUGCGCAGGCGGUUGUGCAAGACCGAUGUGAAAUCCCCGAGCUUAACUUGGGAAUUGCAUUGGUGACUGCACGGCUAGAGUGUGUCAGAGGGGGGUAGAAUUCCACGUGUAGCAGUGAAAUGCGUAGAGAUGUGGAGGAAUACCGAUGGCGAAGGCAGCCCCCUGGGAUAACACUGACGCUCAUGCACGAAAGCGUGGGGAGCAAACAGGAUUAGAUACCCUGGUAGUCCACGCCCUAAACGAUGUCAACUAGUUGUUGGGGAUUCAUUUCCUUAGUAACGUAGCUAACGCGUGAAGUUGACCGCCUGGGGAGUACGGUCGCAAGAUUAAAACUCAAAGGAAUUGACGGG
This 568-nucleotide ribosomal RNA is filed under the name uncultured bacterium. RNAcentral describes it as "bacterial SSU rRNA". It matches the Rfam family "Bacterial small subunit ribosomal RNA", at positions 356 to 917 of the family's 1533-position model. The record is from RNAcentral.